UACGUAGGGUGCAAGCGUUAAUCGGAAUUACUGGGCAUAAAACGUGCGCAGGCGGUUAUGCAAGACAGAUGUGAAAUCCCCGGGCUUAACCUGGGAACCGCAUUUGUGACUGCAUAGCUGGAGUACGGCAGAGGGGGAUGGAAUUCCGCGUGUAGCAGUGAAAUGCGUAGAUAUGCGGAGGAACACCGAUGGCGAAGGCAGUCCCCUGGGCCUGUACUGACGCUCAUGCACGAAAGCGUGGGGAGCAAACAGG
RNAcentral lists this ribosomal RNA (253 nucleotides) under uncultured bacterium. RNAcentral describes it as "partial 16S ribosomal RNA". It matches the Rfam family "Bacterial small subunit ribosomal RNA", at positions 524 to 776 of the family's 1533-position model. The record is from RNAcentral.